AUGGUGAUGGGUGCUGAUAGCAAUCUCCGGGUCCUAGACGCCGGCGUGGUCAGGCCGUCCAACCUCCACCUCCCGCCGCGCUCACUCCCACUCACUUUCUUUGACGUCAAAUGGCUCCGCCCGCCGCCUGUCCAGCGCCUCUACCUCUACCGCCUCCACCACCACCAAGACACCACCCACCUAAUCUCUGACCUCAAGGUCUCGCUCUCCAAGGCCCUCACCCUCUUCUACCCGCUGGCCGGCCAUGUCCGCCUCACCCCUGGCGCUCCCAACAGCAACCGCUACGAGCUCUUCUACCAGCCGGGCGACGGUGUCUCCUUCACCGUCGCCGAGUACGACACCGACAUCGACGACCUUGCCCAGGACGACCCCGUCCAGGUGGCCAAGCUCGCGCCUCUGGUGCCACCGCUGCCCAAAGGCCGUGCCGUGCUCGCCGUGCAGGCCACGGUGCUAUCCGGGGGGCAGGGCCUCGCUCUCGGUGUCACCGUGCAUCACACCGCCUGCGACGGUGCCAGCUCCACGCACUUCAUGGACACCUGGGCUGCGGCCUGCGCUGGCGCCGACAUGCCGCCAACUCCCGUCAUUGACCGCACGCUCAUCGCCGACCCCAGAGGUCUAUACGACAUCUACUGCAAAGGACUGCCGAGCGACGACGAGAUCGAGUUCGUGAGCAGCAGUGUGUCCUCUAUCCCGGACGACCAGCUCCUCGCCACAUUCACGCUGCCUCAGGAGCUCCUACACGGCGUCAAGAAUAUGCUUGCCGAUGAGGCUGCCAAGCAGGGCGCGCCAUCUCCCAGAUGCUCGUCGCUGCUCGCCGCCUUCAGUUUAAUGUGGUCCUGCUACUGCCGAGCCAAAGAGGAACAAAACCAAACAAAAACAACCUACUUCCUCUUCUCUGUGGAUCACCGAGCGCGGUUGAAGCCGCCCGUCCCUGACAGGUACCUAGGGAACUGCCUAGGUCCGGCAAUCGCUGCCGCGCGCCAUGACGAGAUUGCGGCUACCGGCAAGGGAGGCCUCUUGGUGGCAUUCAUGGCAUUGUCCGACGCCCUCCAGGAAGAAGUGGGCGAGAGUUCACAGGACAGGUGGGACGGGUGUGUUGAGCGGGUGAAGGAGGCGGUCAAAUCUGGUGUCCUCUCCGUCGCUGAUUCACCAAGGUUCCGCGUGUACAACCUCGAUUUCGGGUUCGGGAAGCCGGUGAAGGUGGAUGUGGUGUCCGUGGCAAAAACCUCCGCAAUAUCGGUGGAGGAGGCACGCAACCACGGUGGCGGCAUCGAGGUAGGGAUCUCAUUGCCGACAAGCAGCAUGGAGAGUUUUCAGCGGUGUUUUGCCGAUGCCAUGCAAGAGCUAGCGGGUCUAUAG
Molecule: ribosomal RNA, 1359 nt
Filed under: Triticum aestivum (bread wheat)
Lineage: Eukaryota; Viridiplantae; Streptophyta; Magnoliopsida; Poales; Poaceae
Description: partial small subunit ribosomal RNA
Source: RNAcentral